CAGAACUUGACGGUGCGGUCCGCGCUGCCGGUGGCGACGAGGAGUUCGUUUGGGUGAAACUCGACGGAAGUGACGGGGCCGUCGUGCGCGGGCAGCUCUCUCAGCAGCCUACCCGCGGUGAGGUCCCACAGCUUGACGCGGCCGUCCUGGCCGCCCGAUAGGACCCACUUGCCGUCCGGGGAGAACUUGGCGACGCUCACCCCGCGGUCGUGGCCCUUGUAGGUGUGUAUGCACCCCUUACGCCGUAUGUCCCAGAUCUUCGUGUUGCAGUCCAGGGACCCGGACGCGAAGAACUCC
RNAcentral lists this long non-coding RNA (297 nucleotides) under Micromonas commoda. RNAcentral's name for it is "long non-coding RNA (MCOM_LNC000234)". The record is from RNAcentral. Lineage: Eukaryota; Viridiplantae; Chlorophyta; Mamiellophyceae; Mamiellales; Mamiellaceae.